Molecule: small RNA, 127 nt
Filed under: Marmota monax (woodchuck)
Lineage: Eukaryota; Metazoa; Chordata; Mammalia; Rodentia; Sciuridae
Source: RNAcentral
GCCAGGUGUGGUGGCACACGCCUGUCAUCCCAGUGGCUCAGGAGGCUGAGGCAGGAGGAUCUCGAGUUCAAAGCCAGCCUCAGCAACUGAGUGAGGCCCUGAGCAACUCAGUGAGACCCUGUCUCUA